Long non-coding RNA from Dalotia coriaria, 533 nucleotides. RefSeq lists it as uncharacterized. The record is from RefSeq and is a predicted model, not a curated record. The transcript is spliced from 2 exons. NCBI's taxonomy places the organism in Eukaryota, Metazoa, Arthropoda, Insecta, Coleoptera, Staphylinidae.
AAAUAGCUGCGAUAUACAAUGAUUAAAAAAGGUCUCACCUUAAGAAAAAAACAAAAUAACUACACCAAAUCACAAACACAAAAUAUCCGCUUUUGUAUCUAAAUCGCCAUAUUAGUUAUUGGAACAGUGUAGUCAACUUUGAACCGAAAAAAUAUACUAUUGUACAAUUUAAUGCAUAUCAAACUUAAAUAAUCUAUGGUUUCCUUGUUUUUUCGAAUUAAAAUAUAAAGUGCCAAUAAUUGGAGAAGUGCCAACGAUUGGGUGUUUUACCCUAUAUCUCGACAAUCAAAACAUCCGCGGGGAUUCCCCAGUAAGAAAAAUAAAAUGUCAUAGAACGGACAUCGACCGAAACAAUCUACGACUGUUCACUACUAACGCCAUCUAUUAAAUCGAUUGAUGACUAUUACCUCAGGUUCGAUGAUAGUAGGUUUUACUGAAGCUGAAUUAGUGCACGGACUACUAAGUAGCAAAUAAAAUAGGUGGCGCUAGAAUCAUAAGCAAAAAACUGUAGAUUACGUAUCCUAAACUAAAAA